GGGAUAUAGCUCAGUUGGUAGAGUGCUUGUCUUGGAUGCACAAAGCCCUGGGUUUAAUCCCCAGCACCCA
This 70-nucleotide transfer RNA is filed under the name Marmota monax (woodchuck). Its description in RNAcentral is "tRNA.Pro". It matches the Rfam family "tRNA". From Rfam's summary of the family: Transfer RNA (tRNA) molecules are approximately 80 nucleotides in length. Their secondary structure includes four short double-helical elements and three loops (D, anti-codon, and T loops). The record is from RNAcentral. Lineage: Eukaryota; Metazoa; Chordata; Mammalia; Rodentia; Sciuridae.